This is a non-coding RNA of Acanthosepion pharaonis, 100 nucleotides long. The record is from the annotation of a GenBank genome assembly. NCBI's taxonomy places the organism in Eukaryota, Metazoa, Mollusca, Cephalopoda, Sepiida, Sepiidae.
GUUUCAAACACUGGUUUCUGUAUGAUCAUCCAAGUUAAGCAAUGUCAAGCUUUGUUAGUACCUGGAUGGGUGACCACUUGGGAAUACUAGGGGCUGUAAG